ACGACCAGAUCUUUGUUUGUGUCAGGAUGAGGUUCUCCUCCUGUUCCUGACACAAUCAACUUCAGCUCAUAUUAGGAUGAAGUUUUUCUCCUGUUCCUAACAGGGCUGCGGGGGCACAUAAGGGCCGUUGCAAGGGCCUCUCCCUCCAUCUAGUCUCUGAAUAAUCGAACCUUUGACCUUGCUCAUGUUAGGACGAGGUUCUCCUCCUAUUCCUAAUAUGGCUGUGGAGGUGCAUAAGGGCCAUUGCAAGGGCCUCUCCCCCCAUCCGAUCUCUAAGUAAUCAGGCCUUCGACC
RNAcentral lists this long non-coding RNA (294 nucleotides) under Elaeis guineensis (African oil palm). Its description in RNAcentral is "long non-coding RNA (EGUI_LNC054703)". The record is from RNAcentral. Lineage: Eukaryota; Viridiplantae; Streptophyta; Magnoliopsida; Arecales; Arecaceae.